This 3095-nucleotide long non-coding RNA is filed under the name Medicago truncatula (barrel medic). Its description in RNAcentral is "long non-coding RNA (MTRU_LNC008170)". Lineage: Eukaryota; Viridiplantae; Streptophyta; Magnoliopsida; Fabales; Fabaceae. The record is from RNAcentral.
AUAGCUCCGAAUGAAGGGGUAAGCCAUACACACAUGUUGAAUUCGCACUCUCCAAUCUACUGAUGAAAUUUAAGACCGCUUAAUAUUGCAAUGUUUGUGGGUUUGAAUGGGACUUUCAAAAGCUAGUUCAUGAGAUGAAGUGGGUGUUUGGUUGCACGGUUAAAAACUCAAAAAGCACUUCCAGUUUACUUAAAGCAAUUUUGGGUUGUUUGGUUCUCUCCAAACGUGAUGACGAUGUCCUACGGUUCCUGCUCAAAAUCAAUUCUAGGUGAAGCUGCUAUUGCUAGCUUCUGAAAAUCGAUUCUUCAACUGCAGGUUUGCCUUCCAUCAAAAUCUCUUUUUUGCCCUUGAUUUGUACUGCUUUUCACCUCCCUCAUAACUUUCCAUCUAAUCAGAAUUCAUAACUCGUUUCAAAAUUCGAAUGCAAAUAUGAUAGUUUUCAUAAUUCAGUUUUGAUAACAUUGCAUUUGAUGUGUUUGAUAAAAUGCCUAAUAAAAAAACAAUUUAUUUCUUUUGUUUUCCUUGACCUUAGUUAUGAUUGUUUAUUUUUUUUCUUCUUGAAAUAUUAAUGAUAUUGAUGGAGUUUGAAAAUAGCUUCUAUGUUUUUCAUCAAAUGAUAAUGAGAUUGAUGAAUAUUAUUUGCAUUGUAUGAGUGCUUUAUAUUUACUCUUAACAGGUUUUAGAUGUCUGUGUUUUUUGCUUCAGAUUUGUUGUGCACUUAUCCUCAAUAAACUCUAUAUUUCAGUUUUAAGUGGUUCUAUAUAAGCUCUAUUUUUUGGUUCAGUUUUAACUGGUAUUUUGGCUAUGAUUUGCUGGUUUUUUUGUUCAAUUUUUACCACCCUUUUGGUUCAGUUUUACCUAUUUUUUUGGUCCAAUUUUGCUGGUUUAUUGUUCUGAUCAUAGUUAUUUGCAAUGCCAUGAUUUCUUAUGUUUGUGGAUUGAGACAUUGUUGAUGGUUUGAGUAGACAAGUUUAAGCAUCAUAAUGAAGCAUUUGCCAAGAAUGUAAUGGAUUCCUUCAGAUUCAAAUGUUGUAAUUGUUUUAGCAGUGAGAAUAGAUAGAUGUCCUAAACUCAUGCAUUUUUUUUUUUUGCGAGAUUUAUAGUUAUUAGUAUUAGCUGAUCUUCUAUUUUACUGCAUCUUUUCUUGCUAUAACAUUUCAAUGGCAUAUUGUUUUCCACACUCAUGCAUAGAGUUUAAACUAUCUUCAAACCAAGGAAAAAUCUAUCAAAAUCCAAUUCUUGGUUAUAUGGGUUCUGUAUGGACUAACUUCUAACUAUUUACCUUUUGACAUUCAAGAUAGCUCCUGAUUUAUUGAAUGGAUUAGACUAAGUGUUUAUCUUUCAGAAUUGAAGUUAUUGAUAUAGAAUUGUGUUAGGAAUUAUUGUUUUGAUCAUACAUAUUUGGAACAUUGAAAAAUAGAAGUGCUAAUAUCAUGAAGCUAUGUUUUUGUAAUGUCAUGAUUGACAGUAGCCAAAUCUCAUUGGGGGGUUGAAUUGUGUUUUCUUUUUCUCCUAAAAAAUCUUCUUCUGAUAUCACUUCAGAAGCUGUUUGAGAGUGCUUCUGAUGUGAUGUUCAAAAUCUGAUACGCAGCGGAAUAAAAACAGAGUAGAGAAAAGAAAGAGAGACACAAACAAUUAUCCUGGUUUCUUCCACAAACCGGAAGUAGUCUAGUCCCCCUUGCACUUCCAAGGAGAUUUUCACUAAGAAAUAAUCACACAGAUUAAACUGCUCAAUACUACCUAGUAUGAGACUUCCCAAAUGCUCAAGCACGCAGGCAAGAGACUUCCAAUGCUCAAGCACUAAAGCAAGAGACUUCCUAUGCUCAAGCACUAAAGCAAGAGACUUCUAAUCAAACAGAAUUACACAAAAAAUUGUUUGAGUUUGAACACUUGAUAUACAAUCAGUGGUGUUCACAAUACAAUGCAAUUGAAAGACUCUAGACUUAAGAAUUUCUAAGAUAUAUCAAAUCAACACAGAAAUUCACAGUGCUUUUGAGAAACAAAUUUGGCAGAGUUUGGGCGCUUUUAACUUGUUGUAAUGUCUCUAGUGAUCUUCAAGUCUUCAUUCCUUUAUAUAGGGGUGUGUAGAGAGACGUUGAGAUCUUAAGCACGUCUAAAGAGUCGUUGAGAAACCUUGAUCAAUACCAAUGAUCUUUUGCCUGAUUUGGAUGUUGUCCUAUGAAGGAUCAAGUUCAAAUCCAUUCCUAUCUUGAAGGAACAUUUCUGCAGGCAGAGCUGGUGUCUUGUCUUGUAGCGUAGACACAAUCAGAGUCGUGGAGGUAGUGGUUGUACACUUGUACUUUGUCAACUCUUCAAUAAAGGACAAGCACCCAGUGCUUUUCAAAUGAACGUUGGCGCCUUCCUCUUUGUCUUUUGCUCUCUUAGACGAGUUUAAAUCCAAUAGACAACUCUUAGAGUCUUCAGGUUGAAUCUUCUUAUCAACUUGCAGAUUCUGAUGUUGUACAGCUUCUGAACAAAUGGCUUCUGAAGGUCUUGCUUCUGAUGAUGUCAUCAGAUGCACUUUGCCUUCAGACGCACUUUAAACUUCAGAUGCAGAUUUCUUCAGAUGCUUCUAGGUUUCUCUUCUUGUUGAUUCCUUUGACCCUGCAAGACCUAUUUUGUUGAUCAACUUUGUCUACGGUCUUGUACACUUGAACAAAUAUUAGCAAUAUCCAAUUGACAAUUUUUAAUACCUUGUUAUCAUCAAAACUCAUUAAGGUUUAUUAUAAAACACAUUUUGUUCCAACAAUUGUUACCAGGAACAUUAAACAGAUCAUACUUAUCAGGAAGUUGUUUUAGAUUUUACCACCUCUUGUUAAGAUUUACUUUUUGCCCUGCCAUUUUUGACAGUAGACAAAUCUCAUUACUAAUUUUUACUAAUUAUUUACCUUUGAAAGUAGCCAAAUCUCAUUGCAAGAAUGAAGAAUCAAAUGAAGACGAUGAUUGUUGUAAUGUUUUAAAUUUGUAUUGCACUUUAUAUUAUAUUCUCUAUUUGUAAUUUUAACGAGUACUUCAUUUUUUAUUUUUUUUAAGGAUUAACAAGUACUUCAUGUUAAAUAUAUAUCCCCUACAUGUAUUUUUAUUUGAAUAUUGUG